AUGAAUCAAGCCGCCACGCGCGGCCGGUCUACCUCUCCCGCUACUCUCCAGCAGCGCGGCCGUUGCCCUUUUCUUCCCCUCCUCACCCGCCCCAACUCCUCACCCCCAGCCUCCUCGGCCUCAACGCGGACGUCUCCGAUUUGGAUAGGAUUCGAUGGCGUGUUCACACCGCCACGCGCGGCCGGUGCCCUGUUCUUCGCCUCCUCACCCCCGGCCUCCUCCGCCUCGAGGAGGACGGCUCCGAUUUGGAGCUCAAGUACUGCCUCCCCGACACCUCCGUCCCCAACUACGUCGUCCCGUCAGACGAGGACGAGAUUUGGAUUGGGGCGCAACAGAGAUGAGGAAGGACAAAGCAAGAAUAGCUCCAGUGAGAGUGAACGAAUAUGA
This 387-nucleotide ribosomal RNA is filed under the name Triticum aestivum (bread wheat). RNAcentral describes it as "partial small subunit ribosomal RNA". Lineage: Eukaryota; Viridiplantae; Streptophyta; Magnoliopsida; Poales; Poaceae. The record is from RNAcentral.